RNAcentral lists this ribosomal RNA (444 nucleotides) under uncultured bacterium. RNAcentral's name for it is "bacterial SSU rRNA". It matches the Rfam family "Bacterial small subunit ribosomal RNA", at positions 337 to 797 of the family's 1533-position model. The record is from RNAcentral.
UCCUACGGGGGGCAGCAGUAGGGAAUAUUGCACAAUGGGCGCAAGCCUGAUGCAGCAACGCCGCGUGCGCGAUGAAGGCCUUCGGGUCGUAAAGCGCUUUUCUGGAGGACGAGGAAGGACGGUACUCCAGGAAGAAGGCUCGGCUAACUACGUGCCAGCAGCCGCGGUAAAACGUAGGAGCCUAGCGUUAUCCGAAUUCACUGGGCGUAAAGCGCGUGCAGGCGGUUCGGUAAGUUGGAUGUGAAAUCUCCUGGCUCAACUGGGAGAGGACGUUCAAGACUGUCGGACUAGAGGACGGUAGAGGAAGGUAGAAUUCCCGGUGUAGUGGUGAAAUGCGUAGAUAUCGGGAGGAAUACCAGUGGCGAAGGCGGCCUUCUGGGCCGUUCCUGACGCUCAGACGCGAAAGCUAGGGGAGCAAACGGGAUUAGAAACCCCAGUAGUCCA